AUUGAACGCUGGCGGCAUGCUUUACACAUGCAAGUCGAACGGCAGCGCGGGCUUCGGCCUGGCGGCGAGUGGCGAACGGGAGAGUAAUGCAUCGGAACGUGCCCAGUAGUGGGGGAUAGCCCGGCGAAAGCCGGAUUAAUACCGCAUACGACCUGAGGGUGAAAGCGGGGGACCGAAAGGCCUCGCGCUAUUGGGGCGGCCGAUGUCGGAUUAGCUAGUUGGUGGGGUAAAGGCUUACCAAGGCGACGAUCCGUAGCUGGUCUGAGAGGACGACCAGCCACACUGGGACUGAGACACGGCCCAGACUCCUACGGGAGGCAGCAGUGGGGAAUUUUGGACAAUGGGGGCAACCCUGAUCCAGCCAUGCCGCGUGCGGGAAGAAGGCCUUCGGGUUGUAAACCGCUUUUGUUCGGGAAGAAAUCCUCUGGGCUAAUACCCCGGGGGGAUGACGGUACCGGAAGAAUAAGCACCGGCUAACUACGUG
RNAcentral lists this ribosomal RNA (484 nucleotides) under uncultured bacterium. Its description in RNAcentral is "partial 16S ribosomal RNA". It matches the Rfam family "Bacterial small subunit ribosomal RNA", at positions 28 to 507 of the family's 1533-position model. The record is from RNAcentral.